RNAcentral lists this ribosomal RNA (2058 nucleotides) under Solenocera necopina. RNAcentral's name for it is "SSU rRNA". It matches the Rfam family "Eukaryotic small subunit ribosomal RNA". RNAcentral also lists the same sequence under 1 other name. Lineage: Eukaryota; Metazoa; Arthropoda; Malacostraca; Decapoda; Solenoceridae. The record is from RNAcentral.
UUAACCUGGUUGAUCCUGCCAGUAGUCAUAUGCUUGUCUCAAAGAUUAAGCCAUGCAUGUCUAAGUACAAGCCGAUGUAAGGCGAAACCGCGGACGGCUCAUUAAAUCAGAUAUAAUUCAUUGGAUCUGUAAAACCCAUUUACUUGGAUAACUGUGGUAAUUCUAGAGCUAAUACAUGCCUUCAGAGUCUCUGACAGCAAUGGAAGAGCGCUUUUAUUAGUUCAAAACCUUUCGGACCUUGGGCCAAACCAAAACCUUGGUGAAUCUAGAUAACUUCUGCUGAGCGCACGAUCAUCCUUAGCCCUCCCAAAAAGAGGCUAACGGAGUCGGCGCCGCAUCCUGCAAGUGUCUGCCUUAUCAGCUCUCGAUUGUAGGUCAAACGCCUACAAUGGCUAUAACGGGUAACGGGGAAUCAGGGUUCGAUUCCGGAGAGGGAGCCUGAGAAACGGCUACCACAUCUAAGGAAGGCAGCAGGCGCGCAAAUUACCCACUCCCGGCACGGGGAGGUAGUGACGAAAAAUACUGUUGCGAGACUCAAACGAGGCUUCGCAAUUGGAAUGAGUACACUUUAAAUCCUUGUACGAGGAUCGAGUGGAGGGCAAGUCUGGUGCCAGCCGCCGCGGUAAUUCCAGCUCCAUUAGCGUAUAUUAAAGCUGUUGCGGUUAAAACGCUCGUAGUUUGCCCUCUGCUCCGGACUGGCGGUUCGCCUUAGCGGCGUUUACUGCACAGCUCCGAGCUAUGUCCCGGUCGGCUCGCUUGGGGUGCUCUUCGCCGAGUGUCCCUCGUGGCCGGCACGUUUACUUUGAAAAAAUUAGAGUGCUCAGAGCAGGCUAUACUAAGGCCUGAAUGGUGGUGCAUGGAAUGAUGGAAUAGGACCUCGGUUCUAUUUUGUUGGUUUUCGGAACCCGAGGUAAUGAUUAAGAGAAGCAGACGGGGGCAUUCGUACUGCGACGAUAGAGGUGAAAUUCUUAGACCGUCGCAUGACGAGCUACUGCGAAAGCAUCUGCCAAGGAUGUUUUCAUUAAUCAAGAACGAAAGUUAGAGGUUCGAAGGCGAUCAGAUACCGCCCUAGUUCUAACCAUAAACGUUGCUGACUAGCGAUCCGCCGGAGUUAUUCCCAUGACCCGGCGGGUAGCUUCCGGGAAACCAAAGUAUUUGAGUUCCGGGGGAAGUAUGGUUGCAAAGCUGAAACUUAAAGGAAUUGACGGAAGGGCACCACCAGGAGUGGAGCCUGCGGCUCAAUUUGACUCAACACGGGGAAUCUUACCAGGCCCGGACACUGGAAGGAUUGACAGAAUGAAAGCUCUUUCUCGAUUCGGUGGGUGGUGGUGCAUGGCCGUUCUUAGUUGGUGGAGCGAUUUGUCUGGUUAAUUCCGAUAACGAACGAGACUCUAGCCUAUUAACUAGUCGACGGAUCUUUAUCUAAUCCGUUAUCCAAGUGCGGGUUGUUGUCGAGGUUUUGGCGGGUGGUGCGUGCGCGGUGCCGCCAUUCCUUGGUUGGUUACUUACCGCGUGCCACUUCGUCAUUCUUCUUCAUCCCUGCAUUCCAAUAAUGGUGUCCCAGUUCGCAGUUUCUUCUUAGAGGGAUAAGCGGCAGCAAAAAACAUACUAGCCGCACGAGAGAUUGAGCCAUAACAGGUCUGUGAUGCCCUUAGAUGUUCUGGGCCGCACGCGCGCUACAAUGGAGAGUUCAGCGAGCUCUCCCUGCUCCGACAGGAGUGGGUAACCUUAUCAAAGCUGUCCUUAAAGGGGAUUGGGGCUUGCAAAUGUGUCCCAUGAACGAGGAAUUCCCAGUAGGCGCAAUUCACCAGAUUGCACCGAUUUAGUCCCUGCCCUUUGUACACACCGCCCGUCGCUACUACCGAUUGAAUGGUCUAGUGAGGGCACCGGACUGGCGCCCUUGGAGUAGUGCCCGUUCUCUCUCCCUCUCCCUUUACUGGGAAGGGAGGAACGGGCCUCCUGCUCCUCGGGUCGACGGAAAGGCGUCCGAGCUGGGUCAUUUAGAGGAAGUAAAAGUCGUAACAAGGUUUCCGUAGGUGAACCUGCGGAAAGGAUCAA